Molecule: ribosomal RNA, 460 nt
Filed under: uncultured bacterium
Lineage: Bacteria
Description: partial 16S ribosomal RNA
Rfam family: Bacterial small subunit ribosomal RNA
Source: RNAcentral
CCUACGGGAGGCAGCAGUGAGGAAUAUUGGUCAAUGGACGAGAGUCUGAACCAGCCAAGUAGCGUGAAGGAUGACUGCCCUAUGGGUUGUAAACUUCUUUUAUAUGGGAAUAAAAUGUUCCACGUGUGGGAUUUUGUAUGUACCAUAUGAAUAAGGAUCGGCUAACUCCGUGCCAGCAGCCGCGGUACUACGGAGUAUCCGAGCGUUAUCCUGAUUUAUUGGGUUUAAAGGGAGCGUAGGUGGAUUGUUAAGUCAGUUGUGAAAGUUUGCGGCUCAACCGUAAAAUUGCAGUUGAAACUGGCAGUCUUGAGUACAGUAGAGGUGGGCGGAAUUCGUGGUGUAGCGGUGAAAUGCUUAGAUAUCACGAAGAACUCCGAUUGCGAAGGCAGUUCACUGGACUGCAACUGACACUGAGGCUCGAAAGUGUGGGUAUCAAACAGGAUUAGAUACCCUAGUAGUC